GUGUUGCCAAUUAUUCAGAUUUACCCAUUCGCGACUACGAAGGUGCUGAUAAAUAUUUGUUUGGUUUUUGCAUGAGAAAAAGAAGGAAGGAAAUAUUUUUGCUUUUGUCAUCACACACAUUUUGACCAGAGUCUAUAAUAAGAGUCCCGCAAAGAUGAAACCAAGGAACCAAAUCAGUGUCAAACGAGGGUACCAAUCGAGCAAUGUAAAUAAACAAGGUGAUAAUGUUAGGAGUGGAUGAAAAGUGUUGUAAUUGAGCGUAAUAAAGAAUAUGUGUUUUUUCCGAAGUUUUACUAACACAUUUCAAUCCAAUAUUAAACCUGCACACUGGUUCACUUAAAUUUAACAAAACAUCACCGGUGUAAUCUUACAAAACUGUGUACCUUGUGAAGAAUUUCAAAAAAUUAUAUUCGCUUAUGCAUGGUGAAAAACAGAACUGUAUAGUUCUUGGCAACAAACGGCACAAAAACUGUUUUGCCGGAACGAUAGAUUUUCUCUUCGCGCGACUCUAUACACAUGGACUCUGAUUUUGACAAUUGCAUAUGAGAGUUCGCCUAGGUGCGAACAGCCUUAAAAAUCUCUUCCAACUUCGUAGUCGCGAAUACUGACGUGAGCAUAGAGUUUUGCAUAUUACGAACACGCAUUCUAGUAACCGACAGGAACUUAUAUCACAAUAGAUCAAAAUGUCUCUGGUCGCAGUGAUGAGUCCCACAGAGGAAAAACCGACAGGAACAGCGGAGCUUGAUAGUUCAGAUAAAGUACAGGCGGAACCUCAUGCGAACUAGGAAGUUCAGAAAAGGCUGACGCGGAACUUUUUCUGAACUUUCAAGUUCAAAAGAAUUUGCUGCAGUUCGUUGGUAAUGUAAUUGAAAAAGGUUGUGUACGCAAUAUUUUUCUUCCAAACGUUAACUGAAAUUUUAUUCUGAUAUGCUGUGUGCCGCAGUCGAAACGACGAACGCCUUGGAACACGCAACUCUCGGUGGUGUCCGAGAAAUGGAUUCGGACCUCAAAAACCGACAACAUCAUGCUGUGGCCUGUGGCCUAAAUAAAAAACACCCAAGAUUUGGGCAAAUUGCUCAUGGAUGAAAGCAUCACGCACAGCAAAUGUCUAACAGGAAUUCACAGCUUACAUCCGGUUUAUUUUUUCUUUUGACCUGCAACUUCAUGAGUAUCUAAAUUCAUAAUUGAUUUCCUGUAAGGUAACAAAAUAAUGUGUUUAAAUAGAGAAACCUUUAA
This is a long non-coding RNA of Wyeomyia smithii (pitcher-plant mosquito), 1236 nucleotides long. RefSeq lists it as uncharacterized. Lineage: Eukaryota; Metazoa; Arthropoda; Insecta; Diptera; Culicidae. The transcript has 3 exons. The record is from RefSeq and is a predicted model, not a curated record.